UCUCUCUGUCUCUCUCUUCUUUCUGGUGUGUGUGUGUGGUCUAUCGAUUCUUCCAUUCAUUUUGAAGUUUAAUUCCUCAUUUGUGCAGUUGUGAAGUGGAUCAGGAAUUUUUAUUUUUAUUUUUUGGUGAGGAAGCUAUUCUUGAGUAAUGUUGAUGGAAUGUUGUGAAAUGUCACAAUGUCUCAUCAAGGGAAAGAAUUUUCAAUUGUUUGAGGGCAAUGUUUGAGCUGGGAGAAAGGUGUUACAGUUGGUUUAUCCUGCCAUCUUUUUCGUACGAUUUUGUACCUUACCCCAAAUGCAUUGCAAACGGCUCUGGUGCUCCCCUCUGACUCCUUCCAAUCGAUUCCAAACAAGUUCUGAAAUAUUUCUGCAGGUGAGUUUGUCCCGGAGACUCAGCUACGCAAAAAGCAAGACAAAGACAAGCCCACUGAAUCGUGGAAAGAGUUGUUCUUUGAAGAAUAUUAUGGCGAAAAAUCUGACUUGAUGCACAAAGAGCUAAUGGGAGAUGUUGAAAAUGUAGACGAAAGUCUAGAUGAUCUGGAGCCACCUCCAUUGAGUCCUAUGGAUGCGACCAUCCCCAGUGAAGAUCUUUUAGAUUUUGAUGUCACGGUCGAGCAGGAUGGAGCCUGCCCUCGCCUGUUGAAAGUUGAACCAGAGUUGCCUACUUCAAACUCUUCUACGACACGCUGUCCACCCACUGCACCUUGCACCACGCCUUUGAAGCGUUGCGGUUCUCGUAUCAAUAGAGCUGCGCAGCACCAUAGGAACAGGGCUCGUUUCAGAAAGGGAUGGCGGAGGUUUGGUAGCUACAAGAGCUGGUUAACCACAAGAUCAAAGUCUAUAGAAGCAAAGGGAGUUGGACAUUCUGAGAGUCUUUCUGCCAAGACGAAAUACAAAUGGGAUUAUGUGGCAAAUUGUACGUGCUGGUCACAUGGCUCAACUUGUGAACGGUGCCUGGCAUCAACCUCUAAAUCCACCGAGGUACGGGGCAGAGUCGGUCUUUCGACUGUGGAGAAAGUGAAUGGAGGUUAUACCUUUGGAACCAGCGAAAGAUCAACGGCCGUCCCAGGCUCUGCCGGAAUCAUCUACAAGCGAAGUAGACUGGGAGAAGAAUUGAGUGAAGGCCAGGAUGAAAUGUCAUCUCGGAUUAGUCCAGAAUGUUCAUCACAAAAUGGAGGGCAAGAAAGGCCUGUGUCCAAAAAGUCUCGACCUGGAAGGUCAAAGAGGAAGCGUCGUGCUUACCGAGGAUGCUCCGUGGAUGUUGACAAUGCUGACGAAGCAUUGUCUUGGUGGAAGACCCUGCAAGGUGUUGAACCAUACUUUUCAAUGUGGGACCCAGUGAGAAUUUCCCCAGAGUUUUUAUAUGCCGCUUAUAGCCUCUUUCCCAGUGUGCCGUUGUUGCCAGAGGAUGAGCAAGAUCGCAGGAGCACCUUAAAACUCCCCGACAUUGUGAGAAGCAACAGUGAUAUAGCGGAGUCGUUGACAAUUACAGCUACAACAAUUUCUGACCCCUGUAGGGAUUCUGUCAACGAGAGGUUAGGGUGCUUUGGAAUCCCAUCCCGUUCAAUACAUGAUCAUGCAUUCGGCAAGUUGCCAUGGUCAGGACUGCUUCCCAAGACGACCCAGAGCAUAGGAAAAGAUAUAUCUAUGUCUUUCACAGGAACCUCAAAAAAUGGCAAAGCAGAAGCAAAACCGGGUCUUGUAGGUUUCCCUCGGAGCCUCUUUGAGGCAUUCCCAUUGUUCUCGGAUGAUCGGCAUAAUGACUGUGUUGGAGAGGGUACAAGCAGAAAGCCUGUCUGCUCAGAGGAGUUUUUACCGAAUGACUUGAGGGAUCAGAGACAGGGCACUUGUGACUCACUCGGCACUGCUAUUUGGUGUGCCACUGUGACUUCCAUCCCAGUGUGCAGCCCCACAUUGAGUGCCGUCGCAGUGCAAGUGGGCAGAUCCCCACUUGAUCACCUAUCUACAAGCCAAAGUGCUGUAAAUGGAAGGGAAGGGCAGGGGUGGUCACACCACAGAUGAAGAACGCUCAGUGUCCUGUUGCUUUGAUAGGCAAUGUGACAGGGACUGCACAUCUGGGCUGUGAAGCAGCCAACCACAAACCUGGUUCGGCACACUCUAAGGAUAUGUAUGUUGCCUUUCCUGUCUCGCAAUCGGCCUUUUGGUGUCUUGCGUGUGUCCCAUUGUGUGUGCUUCCUGUGUGUGUGUGUGUGUGUGGCAAAGUGGCAUGGGCAAUUACAAUGUGACUUUAGGGUUCUGCGAUCGAUUUCCUGCUGAAUGUACACCAUAACUCACACUGCCACGUUGGUGUGGGUGACUGCACAUCAAAGUGGAAAGCCAAUAUGCCACCUUUUAAAGAGAUGCCAUUUCACUUCAUUGGGAAAAUUGUGUGCAGGUUCACUGGAAGAAAAACAAACAAACAAACAAAAAUCCCCGUUUCCUCGAAACAAGGCAUUUCUGCUGUGGACCCGCCACUCCUCGAGGUGCUUGGCUGGAUUGGUUGAAACCCAAAUGGAGUGGUGGUGCUUGUGAUUAUUAUGAUGAUGAUGAGGAAGAGUGUGUCUGCGUCGUUGUCUGUCUGUAAUACUGCGUGCAUUAUCUGGAUAAUUGUAAAAGCCACCUUAUUCCACUUAAAGUGGUUAAGCCUCCACACUUUGGGGGCAAAACAGCGGUUGUUCGUCUUGUGUUUGUGUGUGUGUGUGUGUGUGUGUGUAUGUGUACUGCUGAACAUUUCUGCACUUCCAGUAAUAGAUGUGCCUGGAGCAUACCAGCGUUUUGUCCCAUGCGGAUAAGGCAGGGCACUUAAAUUAAUAGUGAUACACGGACAACCGUAUUUUCUUCAUGCACUUUCGUGUGCCGGUGUCAUGAGGAUUACUGCUUCCCACCCGCUCCUCACUAUCGAGAAGUAACCUCUUAAUUCCAUGACUUCCUGUAGCAGUUCCAUUGAGCAUCAAUCGGGGUUGGACGAAGAAACGGGGCUUUGGGUUGGGAUUGGGGAGAUGAAGCGUUAUGGGUUUGUGCCUUCCGUGCUUGAAAUCCCAGGCAAGACCGAGAUCUGUCUGGUAUGACCGGGCUUUUAUAGAUGGCCUUACAUGAACAGAAGUGAACUUGAACUUGACAGUUUAAGCUGUUCACAUUUGCAGUAGAAAAAAAUUACAGUACAACGUUUUAAUUUCUAGCUUGCGUACAAAUUUGAAAAUUGGAUGUCGAAGUUUUUUUUUUGUUGUUGUUUGAUUCAUCGAGUGACAUGUUUUAUUGCCCCGUCCACCCCCGACUUGGCAACUUGGGCCUAGUAAACUAGUUUAAUCAGUUCCACGUUUCAGCUGUAUUGCUUAAAAUGAUCUCAUUUUCCUUGUGAAAUGUCCUCCCCUUCCUUUUGUUUUUCGUUCUCUCUCUCUCUCACCGCACAGUCUUUUGCCGGUCUUAUUUAUUAACAACGAUGGUGAUGUGAAGAAGCGAAGCAGGAGUGUUACAGGUUGUUGUUAUGAUUUUUUUUUUUCCAAUUCUCAGUCCAUCACCUCGGUGGCUGCACAAGGUGUCUGCAGUUUGGCGAAUCGAGGCCCUCGGGGGGGGGGGGGGUUGGAAAAAGAGAGGGAAAAGGCGGGGGGGGUUGAGGGGGCAGAUUUUCCGGAAGGAACCGCUGUUGGUGGGGCGGGUGGGAGGGGGGGCGGGGGGGGGGGGGGGGGUUUAGAAAGAAGAAGAAAUGACGGUGUAGUUUAGCGGAACAUUCUUGAGGAUGUAAACAUCGAUUCAUGAGGAUGUUGGACGGAGAUGUGAUUGUGUGUGCAAGGCUUGGGGCUUUCUUAUUUAUAUGGUUUUUAAUUGUCGUUCCCUUGCUUUGUUCAUGCCGUAACAAUUUAUUUCACAGGUACGUGGAUCUUUUUAUUUGUUUUUCACGCAAUGGUACGAUGACCAGGUAUUUCUGUAAUUUAAAUUUUUUUUAUUUUUUAUUUUUUGGCCUGUGGAUUGAACAGGGAUUGAUCUGCUCUUGAGCCAUUUGGUUUCUUUUUAUUACUUACCUCCCCCUUCACCCCCCCCCUCCUUCCCCCUUGUGCCUUUGUGAUUGGAGAGCAAGAACCUUCGAGGCUGUGUGAUGGCCAAGGCUGACAAAUGACCACCAACUUCCACGUCGCUCCCUAACAUUACCGUUUUGAAUCCGAGCGCAGACACCGUGACACGACUACAUUUGGUUCUUAUAGCUGGCAGGACAUUUGGCCCUGCUGUGCAAGAUGCAUCUGUCACGCUGCCUCGAGUGCUGAGACGAGCCUUGCUCCCGUGCCGUGCCGUGCUGUGCAUGCUUAUACUAACUCUUGCUGCGCAUCCGCCCACUCAACAGCUUCCCCCAUCACAUUUUUCACAUUACUCUCAAUGCUGUGUCGUUCCCGAUUCGGUUCGCAAGACAAACAAUGCGCCACACUACAAAAACCAACCCGUCACCAUGCUUCCAGAAAUUAAAUUGUACUUCUGACCAGUGUGGUCUUUUAGUGAUUUGUUUUUUUUUUGUUCUUGUUCUUGUUGGUUGUUUGUUUUUUUUUUUUUGUUUAUUUCCAUUCCCCAUCCUAUUUCGACGUUGUUUCAGGGAAGUACGAAAGCUUCUUCUGUUCUUCUCCCCCUCCCCCCACCCAACACUCUCAUUAGUUUGCUUUUCAUGAAAACCCUGCAUUUUCAUACUCACAAUUUAAGUUCUUCGGUUUCGUAGCAAAUUAACAACAAAUUCUUGAAAUAAUCUGAUGGUGUGUUUGUGCAACACUUUGUUUUUUUCACUGCCAGUACUAUAGAUAGACUAAAAUGUAUUGCAGAUGCAGCACCUGACAUGUUUACAGAUUUAGUGUAGGUAGGUAGGUAGGUAGGUAGGUAGGCAUCAGGUUGCUUGUUGCUGGAGCAAACCUGACACCUGCAUAGUAAGGGUGGAGUCUGAAUAUAUUGGCCAUCACCUGCCAAAUGGAGUCUCAUCUUAUUUCCGGAACGUUGUCUGCUUGGAAGACUUCUCAUCCCUUCCACUCCAGCACCUCCUCAACAUGUCUGUUUUACUUCCUGUAAAAAAAAAAAAAAAUUGUCAUCCUUUGCGAGGAGGCUUGCCUGUUUGUUUCCAGGCCUUGUUGGGAUGAGAAUGUGUUUUGCCACAUGGGGAUAAGGUAGGAGAGCCGUGAUUUAUUUUCUGGGAAUGGGUGGUGAGAGUGUGAGGGGGGAGGGGGGGGAGGAGAAGGAGGGUUAGGGGACGAACCUCUGACUGUGGGCCGGUGAGAUUGCAGCAAUGUACUUUGCACGCCGUUCCACUGAGUGUGUGUCUGCCAAAGCUGUAGCACGUUGGAUGCCUGACAGAGCCGUGCUGAAUGUAUAUACGGGACUUCGGUGGUCGCCCGUUUAUCACCGUACGCUCUCGCCCUCUAUACCUUCCUUGUUUGAAUGUACCCACACCCCCGGAAAGUACCCCGGCCUCCCGCGGGUGCUCCGAAGGCCGUUUCAAAUGCACUUUUUGGAGGCACUGCUUGCAUAUCUACAAGGAGCUUGCUUGCACAUUUACACUUCAGAUUUUUAUCGUUUCCGAAAAACAAACAAACAAGUUGCUGUAUUAUAAUGAUGGUGAUAAUAAUAUAUAAAGAUAUAUAUCUAAACUCGGUCCAUCGUGAAAACUAUUUUGUGUUGCAUAUUCACUGUUUCUAUUAAAG
RNAcentral lists this long non-coding RNA (5669 nucleotides) under Eptatretus burgeri (inshore hagfish). RNAcentral describes it as "lncRNA (ENSEBUG00000017415.1)". Lineage: Eukaryota; Metazoa; Chordata; Myxini; Myxiniformes; Myxinidae. The record is from RNAcentral.